RNAcentral lists this ribosomal RNA (722 nucleotides) under uncultured Fusobacterium sp. RNAcentral's name for it is "bacterial SSU rRNA". It matches the Rfam family "Bacterial small subunit ribosomal RNA", at positions 28 to 776 of the family's 1533-position model. The record is from RNAcentral. Lineage: Bacteria; Fusobacteriati; Fusobacteriota; Fusobacteriia; Fusobacteriales; Fusobacteriaceae.
GAUGAACGCUGACAGAAUGCUUAACACAUGCAAGUCAACUUGAACUUCGGUUUGGGUGGCGGACGGGUGAGUAACGCGUAAAGAACUUGCCUCACAGAUAGGGACAACAUUUGGAAACGAAUGCUAAUACCUGAUAUUAUGAUUUUAGGGCAUCCUAGAAUUAUGAAAGCUAUAUGCGCUGUGAGAGAGCUUUGCGUCCCAUUAGCUAGUUGGAGAGGUAACGGCUCACCAAGGCGAUGAUGGGUAGCCGGCCUGAGAGGGUGAUCGGCCACAAGGGGACUGAGACACGGCCCUUACUCCUACGGGAGGCAGCAGUGGGGAAUAUUGGACAAUGGACCAAGAGUCUGAUCCAGCAAUUCUGUGUGCACGAUGAAGUUUUUCGGAAUGUAAAGUGCUUUCAGUUGGGAAGAAAAAAAUGACGGCACCAACAGAAGAAGUGACGGCUAAAUACGUGCCAGCAGCCGCGGUAAUACGUAUGUCACAAGCGUUAUCCGGAUUUAUUGGGCGUAAAGCGCGUCUAGGUGGUUAUAUAAGUCUGAUGUGAAAAUGCAGGGCUCAACUCUGUAUUGCGUUGGAAACUGUGUAACUAGAGUACUGGAGAGGUAAGCGGAACUACAAGUGUAGAGGUGAAAUUCGUAGAUAUUUGUAGGAAUGCCGAUGGGGAAGCCAGCUUACUGGACAGAUACUGACGCUGAAACGCGAAAGCGUGGGUAGCAAACAGG